UCGGAUGGUUACGUCAGCGGGUUCCUCCGGGGUGACGUCAGGCCGGGCCUGACUGAUUGCCACAUGUGUGCAGCUCUGAGUGGGUCACGGAAGAGGGAUUCCCAAGAGUGGAACAACAAAAAGAGAACACAAGAAUACAAUAGGUGCUGAUUUAUUCUGUUGGAGCCAGGAGGAAUACAUGUAUGCUGUUAUGCUCAGAUAUGCGGUGCUGCAUUGAAGGUGUUUGGACAAAUGCUUGAGUUGCAGCGUGGCAGAAAAUUACAGCCUCUUCACUGUCACCCAUGACCAUCAUAAUUCAAUAAAGCACAUGACUCAAAUCAUUUUUCUGACACA
Long non-coding RNA from Rhincodon typus (whale shark), 333 nucleotides. RefSeq lists it as uncharacterized. The record is from RefSeq and is a predicted model, not a curated record. The transcript has 3 exons. NCBI's taxonomy places the organism in Eukaryota, Metazoa, Chordata, Chondrichthyes, Orectolobiformes, Rhincodontidae.